GACGAACGCUGGCGGCGUGCUUAACACAUGCAAGUCGAACGCUGAAGCUCAGCUUUUGUUGGGUGGACGAGUGGCGAACGGGUGAGUAACACGUGAGUAACCUGCCUCCUUCUUUGGGAUAACGCCCGGAAACGGGUGCUAAUACCGGAUAUGCACUCGUCCUCGCAUGGGGGUUGGGGGAAAGGGGCUUUCUGGUGGGGGAUGGGCUCGCGUCCUAUCAGCUUGUUGGUGGGGUGAUGGCCUACCAAGGCUUCGACGGGUAGCCGGCCUGGGAGGGUGACCGGGCACAUAGGGAGUGAGAUACGGCCGAGACUACGACGCGGGGCAGCAGUGGGGAAUAAGGCGCAGUGGGCGCAAGAGUGAGGCGGCGACGCCGCUGGAGGGGUGGCGGCCGGCGGGUUGUGAAGCUCUUUGGCUCAUGAUCUAGCCUUAACAAUGGUGGUAGUGAGGGUAGUGGGUAAAGAAGCGCCGGCUAACUACGUG
This 483-nucleotide ribosomal RNA is filed under the name uncultured bacterium. Its description in RNAcentral is "partial 16S ribosomal RNA". It matches the Rfam family "Bacterial small subunit ribosomal RNA", at positions 28 to 507 of the family's 1533-position model. The record is from RNAcentral.